Molecule: ribosomal RNA, 466 nt
Filed under: uncultured bacterium
Lineage: Bacteria
Description: bacterial SSU rRNA
Rfam family: Bacterial small subunit ribosomal RNA
Source: RNAcentral
CCUACGGGUGGCAGCAGUGGGGAAUUUUGCACAAUGGGGGAAACCCUGAUGCAGCAACGCCGCGUGAGUGAAGAAGGCCUUUGGGUUGUAAAGCUCUUUCGGCUGAGAAGAAGGGCUGUAUGGCUAAUAUCCAUAUAGUUUGACGGUAUCAGAAGAAGAAGCACCUGCUAACUUCGUGCCAGCAGCAGCGGUAAUACGAAGGGUGCAAGCGUUGUUCGGAAUUACUGGGCGUAAAGGGCGCGUAGGCGGGUUUGUAAGUCGAAUGUGAAAUCCCCGGGCUUAACCUGGGACGUGCAUUCGAUACUGCUGAUCUUGAAUGCUUGAGAGGGUGGUGGAAUUCCUAGUGUAGAAGUGAAAUUCGUAGAUAUUAGGAGGAACACCGGAGGCGAAGGCGGCCACCUGGCAAGACAUUGACGCUAAGGCGCGAAAGUGCGGGGAGCAAACAGGAUUAGAUACCCUUGUAGUC